GUAGAGCGACUUGCCCCUUGCUAGGGGACUGGUCGUCUCUCCAUGCAUAUGCAUGUAUUCUCUGAUUAAUCAAUAAAGGAGCCUCAGGCUGUCUGAUCAACUCAACACGGUGGUGGUCAUUUUCCACGACACACCUUAUAGACUAACAGACGUUUUGGAGCAUGAGCUUUCGUGGGUGAAUACCCACUUCGUCCGAUGCAGUGGAAAUUUCCAGAGGCAGGAUUCGAGCUAAUACCCGCAUGAGGUUUGCCACUGUCAACAGACUCUGACCAAGGAACUCACUUUACAGAUGUCAGGGUAGAGCUUAUCCUGACUCUGCUUACACAUCCAUGUGCAUGACGGUCCCCCGACGGUCAACCGUGACUGUUGAUGGGAUGCAGCUCCA
Long non-coding RNA from Gopherus flavomarginatus (Mexican gopher tortoise), 385 nucleotides. RefSeq lists it as uncharacterized. The record is from RefSeq and is a predicted model, not a curated record. NCBI's taxonomy places the organism in Eukaryota, Metazoa, Chordata, Testudines, Testudinidae. The transcript is spliced from 3 exons.